Molecule: long non-coding RNA, 1891 nt
Organism: Lonchura striata (white-rumped munia)
Lineage: Eukaryota; Metazoa; Chordata; Aves; Passeriformes; Estrildidae
Source: Ensembl
AUGCAUUUUACUCUCUUUAUUGUAUUGAAUAAAUUCUUAGAAGGUGAUGGAGAAGAGGUGCAUGAAGUCACUGAAGCAGAGAAGGCCACGGAAGAAGCUGAUGCAGCAGCUGCUGUUGGACCUGCAGCACAGGAUGAGAGUGCUGGACCCAGAGUAGAGGAUGAGACUUCUGGGGUAUCCCCAGAAGCUGGAGGGGAGCAUGACUUACUGGCUCCAGAAGUAUCCCAUGCUAUGGAGGAAGCACAGCAGGAAGCUGUUGCUAACUCAGAAGCUGCUGCUAAUUUGGAGCUUGCUGCUAAUUCAGAAGCUGCUGCAGUUCAAGUUUCUGAGGAGGAGAAGACAACUGAAGAAGUUGCUAAAGAGCCCUAAAGUAAGCAGUGUGGACACCUUUGGAAAGUUUAAUGCAAAUAUUUGUGGCAACCAACCAGCUGAUUCCAGUGUGAAACCUCAUCCUCUUCCUUGAAGACAUAAAAGAAACUCUGCAGUUUGUCCCACCACACAUUGGCCAUUAUGGCCAGUAUUCAGUGCUGCAAGAGAUGAUUUGCGUUGCCUAGAGAAACGCUUCUGUGACUAACAACUCUGCUGUAGAGAGUAGCAUCCAGUCAAGCCACUCAGCAUGUCCUAAAUACAUGGCUAAGAGAAGCAGUAGACUUAACUAAACCAUGCCAUAUGAACUCCUUCUAUGUCUUUGUUGUCCUGCUGUGUACAUUGAUUCCUUACUUUUGGUCCAAACUAUCGUGUGUAGUUAUACCUUUGUAACAUUCCAUGCUAAAAUGUAAACAAAAGGUUGUAAAAUCAAGUCAAAAUAUUACAAAACUACCUGUUAGCAUUUUAAAAUUGGAUCACAGGAAAAAUAACGUGUUUGCUCCUGAGUUUGGAUUUGUGAUUGUAAGCAUAGGACAUCUGGCUGCGCAUGACCUAAUUUUCCCCCUGCAUAAAUAUUUCAGAUCCUACCACUCCUUGCACAGUAACAUCCAGGAGUAAACAUUUUAAGGCUCCUGCUUUGGGAAGAAAACCUGUUUGCAAGUAGUAGCCAUAGGUACUUCAUAAGUGGUGGCUGGCUCCUGCCUUGGGUGUGCUGGGCUCUGCUCCUCCCAAAUCUCAUUCAACUUUCUGUGGUCUUUCUGUGUUGCUCUGUCUUGGCAGUGGCAUGUACUGGUAGUGUAACAACAUGAAAGUUUGGUAGAAACUUUCAAACUGGUACAAAUCACAAGCCCUUUAGGCCAUGGCAAAGCAUGUCUCUAACCACUUGCACACAGAGAGCAAAAUCCCUGUGAAGGACUGUGGAACAGGUGUUCAAAUGAACAGGCAUUCUUAGGGACUAAGAAAGAUCGAAACAGCUAAAUAGCCUUGCUUUCUCAGUAUUAGCUUCAUAAAAAUUACAUUUAUUAUGAAUAACAGGUUUGGAUGCCACUGUGCUCCCAACCCUCAUGUGCUACAUGCACGAGCAUGCAUCUGAGACCCCAUUUCAGCCAUCACAGAAUGGCAAUGAUUCUAUACCAUAGCCAAAUAAGGUAUAUCAUGUACUAUUUAUAUAGAAAGUGUGUUGCAUAAGGUGUGUCUGACUCUUUUCUCUUCAAGAAGAAGUUUGGAAAAUGUUGAAAGGGAAACGACAGCAUUAUGACAUUCCUACCCACAGCACAAAGCAACACAUGCUCCUUCCCCCAUCAUGAAGCAAAUUAUAAUAGUGUUCCAACAAAGAUAUAGCCUGUUGCUCCUGGACCUACUUAGGAAUAACUGGAAUAAUGCAAAGGCAAAAGCAGGUUCCUGAGCUUCAAGAAGACAAACCACAGCCUUCUGCUUAAAGGAUAAAGCCUCUGUGAUUAAAAGCAAUUUUUGUAGACCAAGCUACUGGAAUAAAAAUCUUAGACUGAUAUUUUGUUGGAUAAGA